This 251-nucleotide long non-coding RNA is filed under the name Manihot esculenta (cassava). RNAcentral's name for it is "long non-coding RNA (MESC_LNC007779)". The record is from RNAcentral. Lineage: Eukaryota; Viridiplantae; Streptophyta; Magnoliopsida; Malpighiales; Euphorbiaceae.
GGAAUAAGUUCAAGUCUGGUCUGGGAUUAGGAAGUGGUUCGAGCUCAGGUGCAGAUAAUGCAGUAUGCAAGAAGUGUGGGAAGCCGCACAAAGGAGUAUGUCUGGUUGGGACGUCAGCCUGCUUCAGAUGUGGGCAGGAGGGACACAUAGCACGGGAGUGUCCUAGAGCGGCUUUUGUGGCACAGUCUCAGCAGACAGCUUCUAGUAGUGUGGCUCAGCCAGUAGCUCCAGCCGCGACUUAGGCUAGUGGC